CCUACGGGAGGCAGCAGUGGGGAAUAUUGGGCAAUGGGCGAAAGCCUGACCCAGCGACGCCGCGUGGGGGAUGAAGGCCUUCGGGUCGUAAACCCCUGUCAGGAGGGACGAAGCCCUGAUCAUAUAUCAGGGUGACGGUACCUCCAGAGGAAGCCCCGGCUAACUACGUGCCAGCAGCCGCGGUAAAACGUAGGGGGCAAGCGUUGUCCGGAUUCACUGGGCGUAAAGGGUCCGUAGGCGGCCUGCUAAGUCGGACGUAAAAGCCCCUGGCUUAACUGGGGAAUUGCGUCCGAAACUGGUGGGCUAGAGCCCAGGAGAGGAAAGUGGAAUUCCCGGUGUAGCGGUGAAAUGCGCAGAUAUCGGGAGGAACACCAGUGGGGAAGCCGGCUUUCUGGCCUGUGGCUGACGCUGAGGGACGAAAGCCAGGGGAGCGAACCG
RNAcentral lists this ribosomal RNA (438 nucleotides) under uncultured bacterium. RNAcentral's name for it is "partial 16S ribosomal RNA". It matches the Rfam family "Bacterial small subunit ribosomal RNA", at positions 338 to 775 of the family's 1533-position model. The record is from RNAcentral.